AGUGAACGCUGGCGGUAGGCCUAACACAUGCAAGUCGAACGGCAGCACAGUAAGAGCUUGCUCUUACGGGUGGCGAGUGACGGACGGGUGAGGAAUACAUCGGAAUCUACUUUUUCGUGGGGGAUAACGUAGGGAAACUUACGCUAAUACCGCAUACGACCUACGGGUGAAAGCAGGGGAUCUUCGGACCUUGCGCGAUUGAAUGAGCCGAUGUCGGAUUAGCUAGUUGGCGGGGUAAAGGCCCACCAAGGCGACGAUCCGUAGCUGGUCUGAGAGGAUGAUCAGCCACACUGGAACUGAGACACGGUCCAGACUCCUACGGGAGGCAGCAGUGGGGAAUAUUGGACAAUGGGCGCAAGCCUGAUCCAGCCAUACCGCGUGAGUGAAGAAGGCCUUCGGGUUGUAAAGCCCUUUUGUUGGGAAAGAAAAGCAGCAGGUUAAUCCCCCGCUGUUCUGACGGUACCCAAAGAAUAAGCACCGGCUAACUUCGUG
Molecule: ribosomal RNA, 492 nt
Filed under: uncultured bacterium
Lineage: Bacteria
Description: partial 16S ribosomal RNA
Rfam family: Bacterial small subunit ribosomal RNA
Source: RNAcentral